AUUCCAGCUCCAAUAGCGUAUAUUAAAGUUGUUGCAGUUAAAAAGCUCGUAGUUGGAUUUUGGGUUUGGUUUUAGUUCGGUUUACUAUAUGUAAUACUGUCUAGGCCGCCCUUCUUCUCGAGGCCUCUGGGUUCACUUAUCGUGCGUUCAGUAGAGUUCGGGACUUUUACCGUGAGAAAAUUAGAGUGUUCAAAGCAGGCUUUUGCUUGAAUAUUGCAGCAUGGAAUAAUGGAAUAGGAUCAUGAUCUUAUUUUGUUGGUUUCUGAGAUCAAGAUAAUGAUUAAUAGGGAUAGUUGGGGGCAUUAAUAUUUAGUUGUCAGAGGUGAAAUUCUUAGAUUUACAAAAGAUUAACUUCUGCGAAAGCAUUUGCCAAGGAUGUUUUCAUUA
This 387-nucleotide ribosomal RNA is filed under the name Ichthyosporea sp. RNAcentral's name for it is "partial small subunit ribosomal RNA". It matches the Rfam family "Eukaryotic small subunit ribosomal RNA", at positions 582 to 975 of the family's 1831-position model. Lineage: Eukaryota; Ichthyosporea. The record is from RNAcentral.